CGGGUGCGUAACACGUGAGCAACCUGCCUUUGGUGGUGGGGGAGUAGCCGGGCUAACGCCCGGGUAAUACCGCAUACGGUUGCCGAGGGGAGUCCCUUGGCAAAGAAACCUCCGGGGCACAGAGAGGGGCUCGCGGCCUAUCAGCUAGUUGGGGGGGUAAUGGCCCACCAAGGCGACGACGGGUAGCUGGUCUGAGAGGAUGGCCAGCCACAUUGGGACUGAGAGACGGCCCAG
RNAcentral lists this ribosomal RNA (234 nucleotides) under uncultured bacterium. Its description in RNAcentral is "partial 16S ribosomal RNA". It matches the Rfam family "Bacterial small subunit ribosomal RNA", at positions 103 to 334 of the family's 1533-position model. The record is from RNAcentral.